GUGGGGAAUAUUGGGCAAUGGGGGAAACCCUGACCCAGCAACGCCGCGUGAAGGAAGAAGGUUUUCGGAUCGUAAACUUCUAUCCUUGGUGAAGAUAAUGACGGUAGCCAAGAAGGAAGCCCCGGCUAACUACGUGCCAGCAGCCGCGGUAAUACGUAGGGGGCAAGCGUUGUCCGGAAUGAUUGGGCGUAAAGGGCGCGUAGGCGGCCUGGUAAGUCUGGAGUGAAAGUCCUGCUUUUAAGGUGGGAAUUGCUUUGGAUACUGUCGGGCUUGAGUGCAGGAGAGGUAAGCGGAAUUCCCGGUGUAGCGGUGAAAUGCGUAGAGAUCGGGAGGAACACCAGUGGCUAAGGCGGCUUACUGGACUGUAACUGACGCUGAGGCGCGAAAGUGUGGGGAGCAAACAGGAUUAGAUACCCCGGUAGUCC
RNAcentral lists this ribosomal RNA (425 nucleotides) under uncultured bacterium. RNAcentral's name for it is "partial 16S ribosomal RNA". It matches the Rfam family "Bacterial small subunit ribosomal RNA", at positions 354 to 796 of the family's 1533-position model. The record is from RNAcentral.